RNAcentral lists this ribosomal RNA (341 nucleotides) under uncultured Acidobacteriota bacterium. Its description in RNAcentral is "bacterial SSU rRNA". It matches the Rfam family "Bacterial small subunit ribosomal RNA", at positions 35 to 358 of the family's 1533-position model. Lineage: Bacteria; Pseudomonadati; Acidobacteriota. The record is from RNAcentral.
GCUGGCGGCGUUGUCCAGACAUGCAAGAAAGAACGCGAAAGCUCCCUUCGGGGAGCAAGUAGAGUGGCGCUCGCGUGAGUAACACGUAGGUAAUCUACCUUUGGAUGGGGAAUAACAACCGGAAACGGUUGCUAAUACCGCAUAAUGCAGCGGCACCUAAUGGUGACAGUUGUUAAAGCGGGGGAUCGCAAGACCUCGCGUCUGAAGAGGAGCCUGCGGCAGAUUAGCUAGUUGGUAAGGUAACGGCUUACCAAGGCGAUGAUCUGUAGCCGGCCUGAGAGGGCGGUCGGCCACACUGACACUGACAUACGGGUCAGACUCCUACGGGAGGCAGCAGUGGG